Brassica rapa (field mustard) is the source of this 3139-nucleotide long non-coding RNA. RefSeq lists it as uncharacterized. The record is from RefSeq and is a predicted model, not a curated record. Lineage: Eukaryota; Viridiplantae; Streptophyta; Magnoliopsida; Brassicales; Brassicaceae.
AGCUCACACGAGCUAUACACAAUGGCUAACUCCACCACACAAAGCGUCAACUCCAUCGCCACCAAACUAAGUCCACAUCAGACUCCAUUAGACAAUGCUUCAGAAUGUCCUUCGACACCAAGCAGUAACACACACUAAGGAAACCUCUCUCUCUUUAUUCUCUGAGGUCUGGCUUUCUCAGAAGGCACAUCCCUCCUUAUAGAGCAGACCAAAACUUGCUCUCCACGUCUUCAACUUGCUCUUCAAGUCUUCCAAAUACACUUAAGGUAACUUUCCAUUUUCAUUAAUGAAAAACUACAUCUUCAAGCAAACUCCCUUUUGCUUUAUGGAAAACGUCCAUAUGUCUUCAAGCACAUAUCAUCUUUCCUUUUCCAAGCUCAGCAAGUCCACGCACAUCACAAAACCCAAACUCACAUUAAGCUCCAUCUUCAUGACACACGCCUGUAGUACUUCCUGUAGUACUUCGCGAACUGAUACAUAUCAUCUCAGCAUACUGCAUCUUCAUACAUUACUUUGAUUCUCGAAUGAAAAUUUACUACUGAUGCAAACAUAUCUUCUUAUUAUUUAGACGAAUCAGGUUACUCUGGGAUCUCAACCCAUGGCGGAAGAAACAGAUUAUGCCUUAAAUGACUGCAGACAUAGAUGAGAAAGCUAUCACGAAAGAAAACCCUGAAAAUGUGGUUGUGGCCUUCGCUGAAGCAGCCAAGGUAUUCUCUCAUCUCAUCAAGCAGCAGUAAUAGGUUCUGAAAAUUUGCCUCAUGUCUCCACAAUUACUUGCUUACUGGUCAUGAAAAUUAUAUGAUAUAUAGCAUUACUAACUCUGCAGAAAUUUUUAGUUAUUCUUAUUUGACUAAACUGAUGAGAUAAUACUGAAACUGUGAGAUGAAAGCAUGUUUUCUCUGGAUCCUCAACCAAUCUUAUCGGUUAGUGCUGCAGACACUGUACGCUUACUUUUUAGUGAUUACUAUUAGAAUUUGUUCUCUUGUGAUUGUUAUUUUAAUCUUGAGGUGAUCGUAUGUAUCUUAGGUUGUUGUGUACAAAGGUGACAUCUAGACAAAAACCAACCCGCAAGAAAAAAGCUCCCAACUCUACUUUUAAAGAUUAUUUUGUGAUUCUAAACCAUGUAUGUGGUAAAAAUGACAACUCCUUUAAAGAUUCAUUUGUGAUUGAACAUUUUUUAAGAGCUAAUGGAGCCACACCAAUGAAGAUUUAAUCUUUUUUUUAAUCUUUUUUUGGUCCCUACCAAAGGGGAUAAUGUCUACUGGCCUAUGCAAUGGGAAGGAUAACCUAUAUGCUGAAAACGUCAAGCCAGAGAGAUGGCUCAAGGACACCAUCCAAAUUCAUAAGCUUUCAUGUCCGUGCACUUUUUCCCGGACAAUUAAGCUUUGUAUGUACUUAAGAGUAAAGACGUUGCCUUUUGAUAUUUUUUUUUGCUUUGACUGUGUAUGUAAGCUCGACCAAGAAUUUGUCUUGGUAAAAGAACUUCGCAUAUGAGCAAAUGAGCUACAUAUUUGUCAACAUCCCUGCGCAAGCGCGGGGCUACGCCUCUAGUGUAUUUAGAAGAGUGGGUUUCGAAUGCUUUGGGAUUAAGGUGGAGGUUAUGUAUAUUAUUAUAAAUGGUAGUUAUAGUUAAGCAAUUAGUUGUAUAUUUAUAUGUACGUAGGUUUAGUGGCAAAAAAAUAAUAUGUAAAAUAGUAGUAAGGGCAAAUGUUAGUAAUGAUCCUGUUAUAAUUAUAUUGAUUUAAGCAUAUGAUUCAGUUUAGUGUGGAGAGGCUCUUCUCCUUCGUCCUUUUCAGUCCCUGGCUCUCCUUUGAUCAGAGGAUUUUGAGCAGUUGCAUUUAUCUAACGGAUUUACGUUGGCUCAUUUAUAUUUUUUGGUUUCAAACCUUGCAUUUUUUGAGUUUUUGGUGUCGAUGUAAACACUGUAUCUCUCAUGAAUAUUAUCAGAUGGAAAAAUGAUAGAAACUAUGGUCAUACCCUGUAUCUCAUAGAUCAGUGGAUAUGCAAUUCUUGGAUUAAUAAUGUGAUAAUUCGUCAUGCGGACUCAGGCUCACAGCUCUACAAGACAUCAACCUUAAUUUUUCAUAUGUGAAUCUUCACUAAAUCUUUUAUGUAGGUUAUUGGUGUGCGUGACCAGUGACAAAUCUAAGAUUUUUCUUUUGUCAGAGCAUAAAAUAAAUAAAAAGGAAAUAAAUAGUAUAAGAAGAGAUUUGAACCAUGGUCUAGGGGACAAACAAAUGAUUCAAACCAAUUUUGCUAUAGAAAGCUUGUUAAUUCUUAUGCAAUUAUAUUUAUAACUAGAUUUUUGUGGGGGCAAUUACCUCCUCCUUACACAACGUAGGUUCACCACUAUGCGUGACAUUCCUUGAACCCAAACUGUAUCUUUUAACAACAUUUUUACAGGAUAAAUUAUUACCAAUUCGAAAAACAUCAAAUGCAUCAAUAACCUACGUAAAAAAAUCAGUGAAAAUUAACAUAUAAAGAAUUAAAAUCCUGCACUACAGGACCAGUCUACGUAAAAAUCCCACGCGUAUAUUCACGUGCAUAUUUUUCCUCGAAAUUUCACUUAGCAUUAAAAGGAUGGAUACAGUCACGUGGCACAUUGCUUUAUAUGCUGGCAUUUUCUGUCAAGUCGUUUGUUUAAACGUUUCUAUAAUUGACCUCGUGCAGAUUUCAAAACAUAACUUACUUUUUAUAUUAAAACUAGGUGAUUUUUCCGUGCUCAUGCACAGACAUAAAUAUUUAUAAAAUAAAUAUAAUACAAUAAUUAACUGAUAUUUAUUUUUAAUUUUAAAUUAAUUUAUAAUUUGUAUGCAUAAUUUAUAUUAAUUACUUCAUAUUACUUUAAUUACAUAUUUAUCUAAUUGGUUUUGUUGUUUUUACAGUCAAUUUAGUUGUCAUUUGGACAUAUUGGAUUCUGUUUAUUUAUUUGAAUUCAACUAUAAUAUUUAUUUCUUGUAAAUGUAUUAAUUUUUGAUUAAUUUUCUUAUUUGCAUUUUAGGUUGGUUGUUGUCUUAAAUACAUAAGUAUAUUUUAUUAAAAUUAUGUAUAAUUUAAGAUAUAUUGUGAUUAGAAUGAAAUAAAAAAUAAGCUAAAAUGUCUGAUUCCAAAUUACAUAAAUUAAUAUAAUGAUAAUAUU